Pan troglodytes (chimpanzee) is the source of this 248-nucleotide long non-coding RNA. RefSeq lists it as uncharacterized. The transcript is spliced from 3 exons. Lineage: Eukaryota; Metazoa; Chordata; Mammalia; Primates; Hominidae. The record is from RefSeq and is a predicted model, not a curated record.
CUCCAAAACUCUACAGGAAAGAAGCUGCCCAGAACUGCAGAAUAACGUACUACCAAUUUCAGCACACUCUUUCCUUGCUAUGUCAGGUGCACUCCUGAGCACUCUAAUGAGGAUAGCAUCAGUCUUCAGAAAAAUGAUACUCGAAAGGGAACAUUCCAACAGUGCAUUCACAUGGAGAAGUUUUGGCUCUGGAAAACUACCAGUAUUCCUUCAACUUUAUUAUUGAGGAAGCCAACAUAAAUCAACAC